CAGUACUUUUAAUAUAAGAGAUUUUUAUAAGUGUGGGAAGAGAUUUUUAUUAUAAUACUUUUUAAAAUGGUUUCAACAAAAAAUAUUUUUUUGGCCACACAAUGUAUUUUCCAAUAUUUUCUACUUGUGUUUAUAACAUGUACUAUAUGGUUGAUGGCGUACUCAUAUAGCUGGAAUUCCUUUCAUACAUGGCAUAUAUUCCUUUCUACAAUUGGGUUUGCAUUGCUGAUGGGAGAAGCUAUAGCAAUACUGAAUCCAGCUUAUGCAGAUAUAUUAAACAUAGAGAAAACUAAAAGAAAUGGUCUGCAUGGACUUUUGAUGGCCUGUGCUACAAUCAGUAUUAUUAUUGGAGUCUCUUUGAAAAUUCAUGAUAAAACACGAAAUAAUAGAGCCCACUUUACCUCAACGCAUGGUAUAUUAGGUUUUACGGCAUUCAUCCUAACAAUCGUCUCAGUCGUCACGGGAGAAUUAGUUCAUUUUGGAAAAAAUUUGUACAAUGCCUGUGGAAUCAAACCAAAAUUUAUAUCAAGCUGCCACAUCUUUUUAGGAAUAUUUGGUUACGUUAUUGGUAUAGUAAGCUUGUGCUACGGUUUAAAUAACUACUUCUCUUUGGUAGAUACGCAUACCAAAACAGCUUUUAUUGUUAUUGUAGCCAUAAGUGCUUUCAUUAAUAUUUUAUCUUCUUUAAAACGUUUACUUAGGGUAUGAGAUUUUAUUGUAAUUGUAGUAUUUAUAGGUAUUAAAACAUGUGUAAAAUAUUAACUCAAUAAAAGUUUUUUUUAAA
This 784-nucleotide long non-coding RNA is filed under the name Anthonomus grandis grandis. RNAcentral's name for it is "uncharacterized LOC126735600". Lineage: Eukaryota; Metazoa; Arthropoda; Insecta; Coleoptera; Curculionidae. The record is from RNAcentral.